This 192-nucleotide ribosomal RNA is filed under the name uncultured bacterium. RNAcentral describes it as "partial 16S ribosomal RNA". It matches the Rfam family "Bacterial small subunit ribosomal RNA", at positions 1307 to 1500 of the family's 1533-position model. The record is from RNAcentral.
GCAACUCGACUACAUGAAGCUGGAAUCGCUAGUAAUCGCAAAUCAGAAUGUUGCGGUGAAUACGUUCCCGGGUCUUGUACACACCGCCCGUCACACCAUGGGAGUCGGAAAUGCCCGAAGUCUGUGACCCAACGAAAGAGGGAGCAGCCGAAGGCAGGUCUGAUAACUGGGGUGAAGUCGUAACAAGGUAUC